RNAcentral lists this ribosomal RNA (459 nucleotides) under uncultured bacterium. RNAcentral describes it as "partial 16S ribosomal RNA". It matches the Rfam family "Bacterial small subunit ribosomal RNA", at positions 338 to 795 of the family's 1533-position model. The record is from RNAcentral.
CCUACGGGAGACAGCAGUGAGGAAUAUUGGUCAAUGGGCGGGAGCCUGAACCAGCCAAGCCGCGUGAGGGAAGAAGGUACAGCGUAUCGUAAACCUCUUUUGUCAGGGAACAAAGGCGGGGACUAGUCCCCGGAUGAGGGUACCUGAAGAAAAAGCAUCGGCUAACUCCGUGCCAGCAGCCGCGGUAAUACGGAGGAUGCGAGCGUUAUCCGGAUUUAUGGGGUUUAAAGGGUGCGCAGGCGGCCUGUUAAGUCAGCGGUAAAAGCCCGGGGCUCAACCCCGGCGAGCCGUUGAAACUGGCGGGCUGGAGUUGGAGAGAAGUACGCGGAAUGCGCGGUGUAGCGGUGAAAUGCUUAGAUAUGGCGCAGAACCCCGAUUGCGAAGGCAGCGUACCGGCUCCACACUGACGCUGAGGCACGAAAGCGUGGGUAUCGAACAGGAUUAGAUACCCGAGUAGUC